AAACAGGAUUAGAGACCCUGGUAGUCCACGCCGUCAACGAUGAGAACUAGCUGUUGGAAAGUUUACUUUCUAGUAGCAAAGCUAACGCGUUAAGUUCUCCGCCUGGGGAGUACGGCCGCAAGGUCAAAACUCAAAGAAAUUGACGGGGGCCCGCACAAGCGGUGGAGCAUGUGGUUUAAUUCGAUGCAACGCGAAAAACCUUACCUACCCUUGACAUCCUCGGAACUUGUCAGAAAUGACUUGGUGCCUUUGGGAACCGAGUGACAGGUGCUGCAUGGCUGUCGUCAGCUCGUGUCGUGAGAUGUUGGGUUAAGUCCCGUAACGAGCGCAACCCUCGUCCUUAGUUGCCAGCGGUUCGGCCGGGAACUCUAAGGAGACUGCCGGUGAUAAACCGGAGGAAGGUGAGGAUGAUGUCAAGUCAUCAUGGCCCUUACGGGUAGGGCUACACACGUGCUACAAUGGGCAGUACAAAGGGUUGCCAAACCGUGAGGUAAAGCUAAUCCCAAAAAGCUGCUCGUAGUCCGGAUUGGAGUCUGCAACUCGACUCCAUGAAGUUGGAAUCGCUAGUAAUCGCGAAUCAGAAUGUCGCGGUGAAUACGUUCUCGGGCCUUGUACACACCG
Molecule: ribosomal RNA, 621 nt
Filed under: uncultured Coxiella sp.
Lineage: Bacteria; Pseudomonadati; Pseudomonadota; Gammaproteobacteria; Legionellales; Coxiellaceae
Description: bacterial SSU rRNA
Rfam family: Bacterial small subunit ribosomal RNA
Source: RNAcentral